GCCGUUGUUAUUAGGCGCGGCGAGGCGGGUGGCGCGCGGCAGCAGGGUUGGGCUCUCGCCGUGAGUCGACGAAGGGAGCGCGGGCGCGCGCCCGCGUCCGCGCACUGAGAGUCGCCUCGGCCGCUCGCUUUCUCGACUCCCGCCUCGCGCCUCGAUCCUGUUCCGCCUCCCUCGGCCCUCCUGCCCGCCCCCACUCGUCGGCCCUCAGGUUCCUGGAAAGUGAAAAUUUCAUUUCUUUGUGGACAGGUACCUAAAAUGUCUCAUUAUUCAUCAAUUAAUGAAAAACAAAUGAAAAUUUGAGAGAGAUAUUCUGAAGAAUAAAAGGAUCAAGUUGGGUCAUUUCUAAAAUCUCAGAGACCUAAUAGGAUGGGGUCUUAGAGAAACAUCUUUUGAGCCACAGACUUCUUUGUUACCAGAAGGAAAAUGAAAGAAGAAAUUUAAAUACCACUUGAAGAGAGGUGAGAACCCUUUGUUAAGCUGUGUAACCUCUGUGCAUAGUUUCCUCAUCAGCAAAGUCAGAAAAAGUAUGUACCUGAAGGACUGAUUGUAAGGCUGGGAUGAGAGAAUCCAUGUGAUCAGCCCUCACCAACAGGUGCUGCCCAGUUCAUGAGUGCUGCUGCUGUCCUGCCCAAGUACCCAGCUUGCAGAGUGCCAGAGUUAGAGUCCCAGGGGUGUUCUCCACAGCUGCAUGCUUGAUCCAGGCCUAUCAGGUGUUAUUUGUUGACGGAACCAGGCAUCAUCAGCAAACAAAACUGACAAAGCUUCCUGCCCUCUGUGGAAGGCAUCUGAGGAAGAGACUGGAUUUUGUAGCAACAUGUUAUUCUCAUUAUAAACUUUAUCAUUGGAAUACUAAAGCCAAAUCAUCCCCCAUCUCCUUGAUCAGGAUACCCACUUAAUCUAGGCAGCUACACAAUUGUGAGAGCCUUUGUUUUUUUCUGCUGAAACAUCCUUAAAAAGAUACCUCACAACCCAAGAUUUGGCUUUUCUUAAAUACGAUUUUUAAUUUUUUUCAUUUCUAUCUAGAGAUUUAAUUGGAAAUGGAAAAUCAUCAAUUUUCCAAUUAAAUGUCUGUUCCAAUCAACAUUAUACCUUUUAGGUUGUCAUUGUCAUUUUUAAGUUUAAGCAACUUUAAGGAUUUUGAAUCUGGCUGCCUGUAAAUUAAAGGUGAAAGUAAUCAUUGUGUUGGAUUGGAACAUUUUGUCAAUUGAGAGUGGUUUCCUUGUUCUUAGUGUAUGAAAAGUUUAUUUUUCUAAUGUAGAUUAAUAAAGGAGAUAAAGAAAAACAAAAUGAGUGAUUUAUGUGUGUGAGAAAAGAACCAUUUCCUCAAGGAUUAAAUAAAAUUCAUACCUUUUGUUUCUUUUGAAAAGUUUUUAAAAUAAAUUUUAAUGAAUGUGUCCUUUAAAUAUUCCUUUAAAAAUGUAUCCUAUUUUAAAAUGGACUCUCUGAGAGAAGGAAUUGAUACCUGUGUUUAAAAUCAAAAAUAGCAUGCAUAGAGACUGUUUUUCUAGUUGGUUGAAGCUUUUUUCCCUCUCCUUUACAUCAGUGAACCAGCAUCUUGCCCUUCAGACCCUACAGCACACUCUUGGGCUCAUGAAGUGUAUGACACAUCCUCCUUGGGGGAUCGGCCAUGUCCUCGCUCUCAUGACCACAUGAAUUCUUCUGUAUGUCUUUUCUCACAGCUGAGUACUCUCUUCCUGACCCCCUUGUGGAAUGGGGAAAGGAGGCUGUGACAUUGUGCUUGUGCAAACAAUAAUUGAGAGCUUUCCGAGUCUCCUGCAUCUUCAUAAAUGAUUUUUUGUUUUAUGCUGGGACAGUAGUUCUUUAAAUAGAAUAUUCUCCCAUGGAAAUCGCCCACAAUGCUGAGAGUACACCUUGCAAAAGGUAAGUCUAGAAUAUAGGGUGCCUCCUCAGCAUUGCCCAGAAGCUGAAGUUAGGACUCUCUAGAAUACCAAAAACAAAUUUAUAGCAGUUCAUUAAUGUAAGGAAUUAUGAAAACUGUGUGCCACCAUUAUCCAUAGAUGAAACAAGAGCCACCACGCAAGCACAGACACAAAGCCCUGAAGAUGAAGCCAUUGACAGGGCUCUCAUUUAUUCUGUAGAAACCCACUUGCCUGUUUUUGAACCAGUUUUCUUUGGAGCAUAUGUCUCACUGUGCAACCAAAGUGGUGUUUAUAUCCUAGUCACUUGGCAAAAAUUCUGUCAUUGCUUCAGGGAGAUCCAUUUUAGGCCUGAAGCAUGGAGCUGGUAAUAGAUGGGAUUUGGUACUUCUGAAGAAAAGACCCUACUGCAAAUUUAGAGAGUUAAUUUUUUCUUUUGUUCCCCAUAAUAUUGUUGCUAGAUAGAACUACCUUUUUUGACUAGAAGUUAAAUAUAGAGGCCUAAAUCAAUUAGGUAACUCCCACUCAUUCUAAAUGAGAACAUGUUUGUUUUUCUCCAACGAGAUGAGAAAUAUUUGAGGCGCUUCCUGAUAUCUCUAUCACCCACUGCAUUUUUUCACUUGAUGUAUAUUUCCCCAUGUAUUUGGGAUAAUUUUCAAAUAAUUGCCCUUUAGAAAUCUACUUGAUAUUAAAUGUAAAAAAAAAGCAAGAUGCAAAAUUAUUAUAGGAUGCAUUUACAGAAAUUACAAAAUUUCUAUAAACUAUUUAUGGAGGAAGACUUAUAGAGUAUAUGUCAACACAUUGCUUUAUUAUUGUCCUUGGUUAUGAGUAUGGUUUUUUUGAAACCUGCUUUGUACUUUGGGUGUUUUCUCACCAUUGGUACAAUUGAGGCAUUUUUCCCUCUUCUUCAACCUUGCAAAUCACACGUGAGGAUGCUCAUAGAAGUGCCUCUCAGACAGGCUGUUGUUUUGCUUUCACCAAUAAAUCAUUUAUAAUUAGAAGUAGAAAACUAUUCUUUCCAGUGCAAAUACAUCCCUUUCAAAAGCAGUUCUCUUUUUGUGAAUGAUGUCUAGUGUCUAAGAAACGAGGGUAACCUUUAUUAUAUGCAUUGCUCUAAUCGAAGCAUUGUUUUUUGCGGUGAACUCAAGGUUACAUGUUUAAGAAAAGCAUCGGGUUAAUUCCAUUAGGAAAAGUGUCUUAUUCAUAAACCUUUAGCCACUGGAAAAACACCAUUAGGAGGCCACACAAGUGUGUAUAGCUGGAUAGAAUUUGACAACUGGCAAAACAAAACAAUAGCCUACAAUUGCAGAGUGCUGUCUGUUUAAAAACCAACAUAUCUUUCACCAACAAAUACAUAUUCACCUCAACACGAGACUUUCAUGUGGUUAUUAAUAUCAAAUUUUUGAAUGUCCAAAUUUUGGAGUGUAGUCUAGCAGAGGUAAACUGAUUUGCCUAAGGUCCUUCAACUGUCAGAGGUAGAAUUAUUUUCUCUCUCCUGGCUCUAAAACCUGUCCAGAUUCUCCUGCAACACUGUCCUUCAAAAACACACUUCCGCUGACUCCAGUGCUGGUGAUGUCAUGCUUUAGCUAGUAGUUAGAGGUGACUUAACUUUAAAUAUGGAAUCUUUUUUUCCUAUUAAGCAAUGAGGUUUAGUUUGAAAAUUCUUAGAGAUGAUAAACCCCUCUCCUUUUUUUCUUCCUUCUCCUCUUUUGUCCUGAACAAUGUUCCAUAUAUAUUACUGCCAGAAACAGAUUCUUGACAUUCCUGUUAUGCUUUUCCACAUCUUGUAAUCAUUUCUACAGCUGUUAGCAUUGCCAACAAUUAUAUUUCCACUUUUAAAAAAUUGUUACAAAGAUGCAGAGAGAAAAGAGGAAAGCCAAGGAAUAAACUACAGGCAAUUAUGGGAUAUUUUUGUGAUGUGACAUUUUGGGAACUGAGGCAGCAUCACUGAUACUGCACUACUUUUUAAUAUCUAGAUUUUAAUCUUUUGUAUGAAGAUAAAAUUCACAUGCCUUAAACCUGACCACAACAUAAUAGGGCAUUUAUUUUUCUAAUUUUGAUACCAUCCACAUUUCUUAACUAUAAGAAGAAUGCUUAUGUUGUACCAGGUUAUAUGAUGUUGCCAAGAAGUAGAUGUGUACCAUUUACUAAUACAUCCUUUUGGAAAAUGCGUAUUAAUAACAUAUUAAGGAGUAAAUUGACGUUGUGCAAAGUGAGCCUGUGAGUUUAAAUGUAUGGAUUGUACACCUUGCUCUUCCUAAUUGCAGAUUUAACAGGAUUUGAUGACCUAAUGAGUUUAUUUCUGAAUGAUUUAUAUUUCUUUGUCAGUUCAAUGAUUUAGUAUUUUAAAUUUUUUUAAAUCACAUUUUAUUGAGAUAAUGCUAUUAGUGUUUCUUUCCCAUCACUUAACAAAGUUAAGUCACUCCUCUCCCACCCCACUUUUGUACCUACCAAUGUUUUUUUCACAGUUACAGGCUGAUUGGCUUGACGUGUCUUAGGAUACCACCCAAAGAGAGCUUCAUUUUAUAAAUACCAAGCUCAUUUUCCUAAAUAUUUUCAAAAAGAUAGAUUUAUCCUCAUAUAGUAAAUUCAGAUUAAUAAUUUUGGAAAGGGUCAUGUGACCAUGGUAUUACAUGGCUGUGGAAGACCCUCCAAGAUCUUGUUUUGGGAUAGAAGGACUCAGACAUCCAAACUUUUAAAUUAAUGAACUUAUUAAAUUCUAAAACUUUGUAACAGUGUUAAUUUGAGAAGUAUAAUAUUUUGCUUAAGGUCUGUUUUGCUUUGCAAAAUGCAUCUCCUUCAUUUUCAUAUUAUGUUGGAAGCUUAGCAUGAAAGAACGUGCCUCAGAGGAAACCAUAGGUAAGCAUACUUUAACAAAAGUUAGUGUCAUCAUGUUUGUGUCUUUGCCUGUGGUUUUUUAAAUGUAUAAUGUUUAACGUUGAUUUGGCUAUCAAAUUACAUUUUCUUUUGUUAAAAAAUUCUGUAAAUUAGAAAUGUACUGAAUCAUUUAUUUAGCAGACUGAAGGUGGGUAAUGUUGGCUGAACAGGUUUAAGCCACAGUAAUUUGAAAAUGUAAAUACAUAAAAUAAUGUCAUUUCUCUUCCACUCAAUGUUUCUUCACCAAAUAAAGUCCAGCCUGCUCUGAAUUUGUUGCCAGUAGGAACAAUGUUACAGUGAAUCAUGGUUUAAUAUACCUUGAAAAUGGCACAUCUGUUCUGUGAUAGCUUACCAAUUUUAGCCUCUUUAUAAAAUACGAAGAGUUUGUCAACCAGAAUAAUCUAGAACCUGGCAAUUCAAAUACCAUUCAAAGCAAAUGUUUUAUCUAAUAACUGGAACUAAAUGUUAGGCCUCAUGACAGUUCAAUAUUUACUAAAUAAGUUUAAUAACAGGGUAAGCCCUCAGUAUCCAGAGCAGAGACAAGCACACCAUAUUUACACAUACAAAUUCUGCCUUUAGCCAUCUGAAAGGGCCCCGAACUAUUGCAGCAAGCAAAGAGUCUUUGCAUUGUCCUAAAAUCCAUACAAUACUUUAUAUUUUACACAUUUUAAUAGCUAGUUUAACAAAUAACAAGUACCAUGCUUAAUUCUCUGCAUGCAUUAUUUCAACUAAUUAUUGGAAUAAUCUUAUAAAGUGGGUACUUUCGUCUCAGCUUACAGGUGAGAAAACAAAAGUUAAAUAGAUCGCCCAGGGCUCUGCUGGAACGUGUUAAGCAGGGAUUUCAGCCUGUCCAGUCAGACCCCAGAAGUUGUGUUCUUAACCAUUAGCAACACAUCAUCCCAGGCAGGCCCUACAUGAGCCUCAUAACCAAUUUUAUGCUGGAUAGUAUUAUCCCUAUUUCACAGAUGGCAAAACUGAGGUCCAGAGACUUUAAGUGACCUACCCAAAAUUACAGUCAUGAGCAGAGGCACUGGAAUGUAGGGCCUUGACACUCUACCUCACGUGGUCCUCUUUCCUGUUUUGGGUAGUUCUCCACUACCACUACUCAUUUCUGAUGCUGGAAAGGCUGUGUUUUAUACAUUUCUGUUUCUGGCUUGGAACGAAACACUCUGGGUCUCUGCUUGAUCAGUGUCCCCUCUAAACUGCACCUCACUACAGUAGGGAUGGCAUAAGAUACUUCUUUACACAGCAUCUUUUUGUUCCCACCUCACCCCCAGAGCUGUAAUAGGUAGAGCCAGCCAAAUGUCAAAGGGAUGAUUUGUCUUGUCACCACUAGUUUCCCUUUUCUCUGCCUUGUAUGUAACAGGAAUAUUCUUUAGUUCCUCCUUAUGUUCUAAAGCACCUCCCCAACCUAAAAAUAGAAGAGGAGUUGUGGGUCAUUUACACUUUAGUGUGAAUUUGCCCUUGUGACUUUGCCAAGGCUGUUGUGCCUAACCCUUUCAAUCUAACAGCAGAAUGAGAGUCUCUGGACUAUCCUGGCUCCUUCCCUGAGAAGAAUGAACUGGGAAUUGUUGGUCUAGACAUCAAGACUACCAGAGACCUAUUGCUCAGAGAUGUUUGGGCUGUACAAUUUCUGUAGAUAUGGCAUCUGGAGCAGCCUUUUCUAAGCAAUGGCAUUAUCAUUCCAGGCUCUCUCGCUCUUUCCAUCUCUCCACCAGGUGGACUCUUGCCCUCCACCCCUUCCAAUUUGUCAGUGAUUCAGAGAACAUUCUCCAUCCUUCCAAUGAUUACAUUCCUUCAUCUUGCUGGGGCGCCAAUUCAGUGAUGGAGCGGCUCUUGGGAGCAGCCUUGGCUUAUAGUGCAGCUCUCUGCUACCUUCAACAGGCUGGUAUUCGGGGUGCUUAGAUGUGACUGGUUGUACGCACGUGUGUGUAUGUGCAUGUGUGUACAGCAGUAAGAGCUUUCGAGGUAGAUACUUGAGGAAGCCUCAGACAUCUAGCCCCAUUACUGGGGCAAUGUCUUACUUGGGUUUUUCCAGAAACAGACCUGGAGACCAGGAUUCAAGUGCCAGUGGUAUAUUUGGGAUGUGAACCCUGCAAUGCUGGUAGGAGAGUGGAGAAGUGAGGCAAGGAAAGGAAGGCCGUCAAGGGGCGUGUUAGGAGGUCAUUCACCACCGCAGGUAGCCCGCUGGGGACCUCUGGGAGCAAGUGUGGCGCACAAGCCUCAGCAUUACUGCCCUGUGCCUUGAGGAGUAAGGGAUAAGGAUUUUCCCCACCAGUUCCCUGUAGUCCUUGGUGAGAGCUUCUGGGGUGGAGGUUAAGGUCUUUAGGUCAGAGAAAUUUUCUUUAGUUUCGGAAAAAUCUUUCAGGCCGAGGUCCAGACACUCACUGGAACACACUGAAGUGGUUAGGUCCAAGGGCUGUAGGCAGAGCUCCCAUAUCCAUCUGCAGAGGUGUUUCAGGUGGAAGGAGUGGAGACAGCCUUCUCUGCUCCACACUGUCUUCAGCAAGGGUUUCUGUAUCUGUGCAUUGAGGAUUAAAUUAUUCACAUGGUCAGAGAAGCCCAUCACCACUGAUAGUUAUUGUAGGUAUGGAAAACUAACGACUAAGAAGGGAGAAAAAUAUACCAAGCAGUUGGCUUGGCUGAACACAAGUAAAGACUCUUACAGUCACUGGUGUGAACUGCUUAUUAUCAAUGUCUGAUUACAGUGCUGCAUACUAAUGAUUAUGCAUGUCAUUAAAUGUGUCAGAUUAACUUUGUUAUAAAAUUUAUGACAACAUUAAAUUUUAUUCACAUGCUCAGCCUUCAUAAUUUAUUGCUUAUGUAGCAUGGUUUUAACUUCAGAAAAACCUCCAAGACAGUGUUGUCUUGAUGACUACACUGCUUAUCCGUGAGUCUAGUUUUCCUGUUCAUUUGAAAUGUUCACAUUACAUUCAGCUCUGUCUCAAGCACUGAGACAGAGCUGGAAUCAGUGCCCAGCGAUUCCACUUGCCGAGUGAUUGA
RNAcentral lists this long non-coding RNA (7757 nucleotides) under Homo sapiens (human). Its description in RNAcentral is "HSALNT0230641". The record is from RNAcentral. Lineage: Eukaryota; Metazoa; Chordata; Mammalia; Primates; Hominidae.